Ipomoea triloba (trilobed morning glory) is the source of this 196-nucleotide small nuclear RNA. RefSeq annotates it as U2 spliceosomal RNA. The transcript has a single exon. Lineage: Eukaryota; Viridiplantae; Streptophyta; Magnoliopsida; Solanales; Convolvulaceae. The record is from RefSeq and is a predicted model, not a curated record.
AUACCUUUCUCGGCCUUUUGGCUAAGAUCAAGUGUAGUAUCUGUUCUUAUCAGUUUAAUAUCUGAUAUGUGGGCUAUUGGCUCACAUGAUAUUAACUCAAUUUUUUUAGGGGGAGGGCUCGUUAAAGUGGCUUGCUACUUGGGCCUUCAUUUGUCGCCUUGGUGUUGCACUAUUGCCUUGGCCUGGCACACCCCAC